AGGUGCUGGAGUAACAAUCACUUCGCGCAUGCUCACAGUCUCCAGGUGGGCGGUGUUUUCCUUUCCGCUCAGUGCUGAAGCGGAUCAUCUGCGGGAUCGGGAAAGGGUCCUCGCCUCCUGGGUCGGGGAGCCGGGGGUCGGGAUCACUCUGCGGGCCGAAGAUAUCAGUUUUCCCAGCGUUAGACCUGCGGUGAGAGAUUUAUUGGAAGGAAAACCCCAACUGGAAGCAAACCACGACUGAAGACGAGGGAACAGCAACAAGUGAACCAGCCCGAGGAUUGAGAGCAUCAACUGGAGAGAACCCAUCUGACUCGGAGAUUCCAGUGAUUCAGUCAGGAGAAAGUUAGAUCUGGGCUGAGAGAUUUAUUGGAAGAAAAGCCCACAACUGGAAGAAAACCACAACUGAAGAUGAGGGAACAGCAACAAUGAACCAGCCCGAGGACUGAGAGCACCAACCGGAGAGAACUCUUCUGAAUCACAGUUUCCAUUGAUUCACUCAGGAGAAAGUUUGGGCAUCACCAGCAGGUGGGGCUGUCCUGCACCGGGACCAAAGUGUACACAAGACGACGACAAUCAACAAUCAGUCAGAAUCAGAAUGGCUACAGGUGGGUUUUGGUUAUGGAAAGUAUUCGGGAGGUUUUCACGAGGCCGCUCAUCGAGGGGAGAUGAUCGGGACACGGGAAACAAGGUACCAGAGCAGGGUCAGAUUGAGAGCAAUGUCCCAAUGGAAUGCGGUCCGGCCGCAGCGGAAGUGGAGCAAAUUCAGCCCAGAGACAGUGACGACAGAGACACUGAUCAGGACCCUGGAACCGGUACAAGUGAGGCGACUGUCUGUCAGCUCGGAAGUUCAUUAAAUACGGAUUUGUCAAGUCCCCAGCAAGGAACGGAUCCCAAACAUACAAUCUCAGAUGUCCUGGCACAGUUCGACGAUUAUCAACUGCUCUAUCUGACAAAUUUCUACAGGAAGGGACUGAAACCUGCAAUGGAAGAAGGAAUAGAAGGACUCAGCUUGAAGUUGAGACAGGAGCGACAUUUUAGUGAACUUGAACACGAGAAAGUCACUCAGCUCGUGGAGAGGGGAAACCGGACGGAGAGUUGUACACUCCUCCUCAGUCUGGUGAUGGAGAAAGGCACCCAGGCCCGGAGGCUAUUGUGGGAAUCCUUUGUGGAAAUGAGGAAGCAGUUACCGAAGUUGGAGAAGAUACUGAAGGAAAUCCAGGAACUCGGUCUUGAUCCAUUUGAAAUCACGAAUAUCACCGGAGGCUUUUCUGAGUUAUCCUCGCAACUGAAGGAUGUUCAACAGAAACACAAGGAGACUCUGCGGGCACAAACUGAAACACUGAGAGUCAACAGGAUCCUGAUGAGGGAGAAGGUGAAGGUUUCCCAGCUGGUUGAUCGAUACGCUGAGCUCACGGUCAUUUCUACUGUUCGAGAUCGGAGACUGGUGGAACAUGAGCUGCUGGCAAGAGGCAGAACCCAUGAAAAAUUGAGAAAGAAACAUCUCCAUGUAGAGCUGGAAAAAAUCCGGACGGAUCAGCUGAUCCAAAGCAGCUUUUCCCACAGUAAUUCCAAAGCAGGGAGUUCAGCUGCAGUGGCCGGAGUCGCGGGGAUCGGCAAAACAACAAUGGUACAAAAGAUUGUUUAUGACUGGGCCACGGGGAAAAUAUACCAACAGUUCCAGUUUGUCUUCAGUUUCAAAUUCCGAGAGUUAAACACGAUCAAUUGUAUAAUAAACCUCUCGAACCUGGUGCUGUUUUUCUACCCUUACCUGAGGAAUGUUCUAGAAACACUGUGGAAGAACCCAGAAAGUUUGCUGUUUAUAUUCGAUGGAUUGGAUGAAUACAAGGACGGAAUCGAUUUUGCUGACAGUCGGAGAAACACAGAAUCUCAGUACGCUUGCACGGAUCCUGAAUUCCAGUGCAAGGUGUCUGACAUUGUGUACAGUUUAAUCCAGCACAAGCUUCUCCCAGGGUGUUCAGUGCUGGUGACCACCCGUCCCACUGUGUUACAUUUAUUGGAAAAGGCAGAGAUCAGUGUCUGGGCUGAAAUCCUGGGAUUUGUUGGUGAGGAACGGAAAGAAUAUUUCAUCAAGUAUUUUGAAGAUCAGACGGUGGCAGCAGCUGUUUUCAAACACGUGAAGGAGAACGAGAUCCUGUACACCAUGAGCUACAACCCCUCCUACUGCUGGAUCCUCGCUCUGGCACUGGGCCCCUUCUUCACACGAAGAGUCAGGGACCCGCAGCGAAUUCCCAAGACCAUUACCCAACUAUAUUCCUACUAUAUUUGCAACAUCCUGAAAAACCACGGCCGUGAGCUUGAGAGACCCCAUGAUGUGUUACUCAGGGUAGGUCAGAUGGCCUUCAGAGGAGUGUCCGAGCAGAAGACUGUAUUUACAAGUGAAGAUUUGAUCCACUACAAUCUGCAGCCUUCCCGAUUCCUGAUGGAGCUUUUGGAGAGAGAGGACACUUCCCGGUGUGUGGUGUACACAUUCCCACACCUCACAAUCCAAGAGUUUGUAGCUGCAAUUGCACAAUUCCUGACUCCACAUUCCGGGGAUAUCCUGAAAUUCCUCACCGAAGCCCACAACACGACAGAUGGGCGAUUUGAGGUAUUUCUCCGUUUUGUUGCUGGUCUCUCCAACCCAAUGACAGCUCGGGGCCUGGAGGAGUUUCUGGGUCCAUUUCCCCAUGAAACAACCUGCCGGGUGAUUGACUGGGUGAAGGAGGAGGUUAAACGCCAGAGUGGAAACACGAGGAGUGAAGCUGGUAAAAGGAGCCUCAUGAACACAUUGCACUACCUGUUUGAGUCUCAGAAUCGUGGAUUGGCUCAGGCCACACUGGGAUCUGUGGAAACACUUUCAUUCAUGGGAAUGACACUGACCCCGAUUGAUUGCGCGGUCCUGUCUCAUGUCUUCGGGCUGUGUGGUACAAUAAAACACCUCGACCUGUGGAACUGCCACAUUCAGUGUGAAGGAAUCCAGCGGCUGGGACCCGGGCUGCACAAGUGCCAGGAGUUGGGACUCGGGGAGAAUAAACUAGGAGAUUCAGGAGUGAAACUGGUGUCUGCGGCUCUGAGGAACCCGGAGUGUAAAAUACAGAAACUGUGGCUGGAGAAUGUCGGUCUCACAGAUUCUGGUGCCGAGGAUCUCGUCUCCGCUCUCAGUGCAAACCGAUCACUGACGGAGCUGGAUGUGAACGGAAAUAAACUGCGAAAUUCAGUAGCGAAACUGGUGUCUGCGGCUCUGAGGAACCCGGAGUGUAAAAUACAGAAACUGGUGCUUAUUGACGUCGGUCUCGCAGAUUCUGGUGCCGAGCAUCUCGUCUCUGCUCUCAGUACAAACCGAUCACUGAUGGCGUUGGACCUGAAUAAAAAUAAACUGGGAGAUUCAGGAGUGAAACUGGUGUCUACGGCUCUGAGGAACCCAAAGUGUAAAAUACAGAAACUGGGGUUGAACUGUGUUGGUCUCACAGAUUCUGGUACCGACGAUCUCCUCUCCGCUCUCGUUGCAAACCAGACACUGACGGGGCUGGAUUUGGGAUUGAACUCGCUCACAGACCGAUCAAUCCCCGCUCUCCGCCGCCUCUUACUGACUCGUACGAGUCUGGAGUGGAUCUGGCUGGUGAGAAAUCAGUUCAGUGAGACCGGGAGGAAGAAACUGAGCUCUCUGCAGGAAUCUAGACCUGGACUGAGAGUGAUCCUGUGAACAUCUGAAUUUGCGAACAUCCCCGCCCAGGGGAUGGGGACCUUUGGCCAAUUCGCUGCCCUUCCGUUUAAUCGCCAUGCUCCGGGGUUGAUAGCCAACCAUUCCAACGGACUCCAGCUCCACUCCUUAUCACAGUCAUGAAAUUCCAACGGAACUGCUUCCACCGGAUUCCUGGGUCCGGAUUUCUUCCCAAAGAAGACCCUGGGAAAUUAGGCAGUCAGGAGGCGUCCGGGGGCGAAGCUCAGUUAGGGACAUCAGUCCCUAGAUUGAUUAUCUGGCGAGAAGGUCACUCUGCUGUGGAUGAUACACUCAGCAGUGCAGUCAGUAUAAUGAUAUUAAAUUGACAAAUACCUCAGCAGUGACCCUGGAUCUGCAGCAAUCUCGGACACGGGCCUGAAGUGUGAUUUUAUCAUCAUUGGUUCCCGAUGCAGAGUGACGGUGAUGUAAGGCGGCGUGGAGAGCCUGUGUGAUCGUAGCGGCCGUAGGCUUUGUGGCGAUAGGCCAAGAGUUCAUUCCAGCCAUGACCAACUUUCGCAUCACGACAGCACCGUAUAUGUGAGUGCGACUGGACGAUAGUAAUUCAAGCAGCUCACAUUACUCUUCUUGGGCACCAGUAUAAUUUUUGAUCUUUAGAAGCAGGUGGAACUUACGAAUAUAGCAGUGAGAGAUUGAAAAUGUCUCUGAAUACCGCCAGUUGGUUGGCACAAGUUUUCAGAACCUUACCAGGUACUCAGUCGGGGCCUUCCCCCUUGCGAUGCUUCACUCUCCUGACGACUGCCUCCGGGACAGAUUGCAAGUUCACUGGGUGCUACGGUUAUCAGCAAGAGUGCAGUUUUAUUCUGCCUUUCAAAUCGAGCAUCAGGUGUGUUGAGCUCAUCUGGAACUGAGGCAUCACCGUCACUCGUGACGUUGAGCUGCGCUUUGCAGGAAGUAAUGAUCUGUAAACCCCGCUGGAGUUGGAAUCCUUGGAAUUGUUCUUUCACUCCUGAAAUAGCUCUCUGCAAGUCAUCCCUGCUUUUCUUGUACAGACCUGGUCGCCAGACCUAAGUGGCACAAACCCAGCCCACGGCAGACUGCGAACCUCCUGCUUCAUUCACAGCUUUUGAUUUGCAUAUGUACAGUAAGUACUCAUAGGCAGCCGCUCAUCUACACAGAACCUAAUGAAGUCAGCGUGGCGCACUCAUCCAGACUCGAAGGUGAAGUCCAGAAUACGGACCAGUCCACCUGUUCAAACCAGUCCACCGGUUCAAACCAGUCCUGUUAGAUCUCCUGUCUCUUCCUUGUCCAUGCCUUCUUGGUCUUCAAAUCA
Mobula hypostoma (lesser devil ray) is the source of this 5012-nucleotide RNA transcript. It is a transcript of the gene named NACHT, LRR and PYD domains-containing protein 3-like, with no coding region annotated. NCBI's taxonomy places the organism in Eukaryota, Metazoa, Chordata, Chondrichthyes, Myliobatiformes, Myliobatidae. The record is from RefSeq and is a predicted model, not a curated record. The transcript has 15 exons.